RNAcentral lists this ribosomal RNA (422 nucleotides) under uncultured eukaryote. RNAcentral describes it as "SSU rRNA". It matches the Rfam family "Eukaryotic small subunit ribosomal RNA", at positions 592 to 1018 of the family's 1831-position model. The record is from RNAcentral.
CAAUAGCGUAUAUUAAAGUUGUUGCGGUUAAAAAGCUCGUAGUUGGAUUUCUGUUGUGGGCAGCCGGUCCAAACUAUGUUUGAGUAUCUGGUUCGACCAUGGCAUCCUCCUGAGGAACGUUGGUGCGCUUCACUGCGUGGCACGGUAUUCAGGACUUUUACUUUGAGGAAAUUAGAGUGUUCACGGCAGGCGUUUGCCCUGAAUAUAUUAGCAUGGAAUAAUAAUAUAGGCGAAAGCGUCUAUUUUGUUGGUUUCUAGAUGUUUUCGAAUGAUUAAUAGGGACUGUCGGGGGCACUCGUAUUAUGACGUCAGAGGUGGAAUUCUUGGAUUGUCAUACGACGAACUACUGCGAAAGCAUUUGCCAAGGAUGUUUUCAUUGAUCAAGAACGAAAGUAAGGGGAUCGAAGACGAUCAGAUACCAU